GUCCACGCCGUAACGAUGAUAACUAGCUGUCCGGGACUUGGUCUUUGGGUGGCGCAGCUAACGCAUUAAGUUAUCCGCCUGGGAGUACGGCCGCAAGGUUAAACUCAAGGAAUAGACGGGACCCGCACAAGCGGUGGAGCAUGUGGUUUAAUUCGACGAUACACGAAGAACCUUACCUGGACUUGACAUAGUAAGAACUUUCUAGAGAUAGAUUGGUGUCUGCUUGCAGAAACUUAUAUACAGGUGCUGCACGGCUGUCGU
Molecule: ribosomal RNA, 261 nt
Filed under: uncultured bacterium
Lineage: Bacteria
Description: partial 16S ribosomal RNA
Rfam family: Bacterial small subunit ribosomal RNA
Source: RNAcentral